Non-coding RNA from Punica granatum (pomegranate), 1577 nucleotides. NCBI's taxonomy places the organism in Eukaryota, Viridiplantae, Streptophyta, Magnoliopsida, Myrtales, Lythraceae. The record is from RefSeq and is a predicted model, not a curated record.
GCGGACCGUAACAUUGAUAGCGAAGCCCCCUCUCGCCAAGCUUCACCUAGCGACGUCCUCCAACUCCGUCACCGAGCCUCACGAUCCUCAACCUCAUCUUCGGGGUCGUUGAGCUCGACUUGAGAGCAGGACCAGCAUCACGGCCAACUCCAUCCUUCCCUUUUCGAAGUUCCGAUGAGUCCCUCUGUCGAUUUCCCCGAGCUAAGUUCCACUCUCUCUUUCUCUAUCUCUCUCUCGGUCUCUGCUCUAUCUGCUGUCGUCUUUCUCUCUACUUUUCGCAGGUGACCGGAGUUCUGGUUACAACCCAGCCCCUCCUCCGAUAAGCUCAACUCGUCCCCUUAAUCGUGACCUCCUCUGUAGCAGUAGCUUCCCCUCACAACCCCGUCUGAGGCUUAUAAUGCUCAAUCCGGACAAUUAGAGGUCAAGCGAGUUUCUUUUAACCCGAAAUUCUGGUGUUUAUGCUUGGCUGAGUUACAUAAUGUUGUUUGAAGGAUUUGAGGUUGUUUUACUGGAUUUAGAUGUGUUAGAAGUCAGCUGGAUGUUGAGGCUGAGAUACAUGACAGCCGCUGGUGGGUUGGUUAUUCAAGGAUGAGGUUAUGAUAACUUCUAGCUGGGCUGAUCUAUUCGGAUUAGCCGAGAACUUUGGUUGUUAGCUCUGACAAUGAAAGGAUCCUGAUUCUUUCCAAGAUGAGGUCGAAGCACGAACCCGGACAUACAUAUGGGAAUGCUGGCAUUUCUACAUAGCUACUGAGGAUCAUUUUCUUAGUUCAUAUCCAUCACACUCAUAUGGUCGCAGUUCGGCUACACAAGCCCCUACAGCAACUCGUGGUCAUGGCAACAACCCCGGUAUACUGCGCUGCAUCCAUUCACUCCACAUUCGUGUCUUGGUACAUCCUCAUUCAAUGUUCAUCUUCGCGGGUCUCCAUACUUCAGAUCAUGGCAUACACUGAUGCUGACGAGGGUGGCUGCCUGUAUAGUGUCGCUCAAAAACAAGCAAUACGGUCUUUGUCGGUCAGAACCUCAUUUCUUGGUGUUCCCAGAAGCAGCUAACCGUCUCACGUAGUUCGACCGAGUUUGAAUAUCGGGGUCUUGCUUGUGCAAUUGCUGAGACCCUAUGGCUUCGUUAACUCAUUUAGGAAAUUUGAUGUCACUUUUCAAGUCCUAUCAUUGCCUAUCACAAUAACAUCAGUGCCACCUACCUUGCGGCGAACCCACAUUGCUGUUGAUUAUCAUUUCAUCAGGGAACAACUCACACGUCGAGAUUUACCAAUUCGAAUGUAUAUGUUUUCAUUUUUUGAUCUCAUUGUAGCAAUCUGUUAGUAAUUGUGCCCCCAACAGAUGAGGGAGGUAUUAGGGAUAUAUAUGUAAUACUCUCAUACGAGGACUAUAUUGUAAUUUUGUAAUCUUGGUCCACUAUAUAUACUGAUGGGGUCAGUAUGGCGACCCUCAUGGGGUCAGGCCUCACAGUCGUACACAUCUCAAGGGAGGCCCGGCAGCAUCUCCCUUCAUUCGAGAACUAGGAAUCCCAAUUCAGUCCUCUCAGGUGUUAUUUUAGUACCCGUCUAUUUUCCUUAUCA